UGGGGAAUUUUGGACAAUGGGGGCAGCCCUGAUCCAGCGACGCCGCGUGAUCGAUGAAGGCCUUCGGGUCGUAAAGAUCUUUCAGCGGGAAAUAUGAUGAAGGUACCCGCAGAAGCAGGAGCGGCUAACUACGUGCCAGCAGCCGCGGUAAUACGUAGGCUCCAAGCGUUGUUCGGAAUUACUGGGCGUAAAGCGAGUGUAGGCGGUUUGCCAAGUCGAUUGUGAAAUCUCCCGGCUCAACUGGGAGGGUGCGGUCGAUACUGGCAAGCUAGAGUACGGAAGAGGAAGGUAGAAUUCCUGGUGUAGCGGUGGAAUGCGUAGAUAUCAGGAGGAAUGCCAGAGGUGAAGACGGCCUUCUGGACCGUAACUGACGCUGAGACUCGAAAGCGUGGGGAGCAAACAGGAUUAGAUACCCCCGUAGUCC
Molecule: ribosomal RNA, 424 nt
Filed under: uncultured prokaryote
Description: bacterial SSU rRNA
Rfam family: Bacterial small subunit ribosomal RNA
Source: RNAcentral